AUCUACAACAUACCACCCUGAACUUGCCCAGUCUCAUCUGAUCUUUGAAACUCAGGAGAGUCAGACAUGAUUAGUACUUGGAUGAGAGAUUUCUGGCAGUUAUGGGGC
This is a ribosomal RNA of Cricetulus griseus (Chinese hamster), 108 nucleotides long. Lineage: Eukaryota; Metazoa; Chordata; Mammalia; Rodentia; Cricetidae. The record is from Ensembl.